RNAcentral lists this unclassified non-coding RNA (351 nucleotides) under Hevea brasiliensis (rubber tree). The record is from RNAcentral. Lineage: Eukaryota; Viridiplantae; Streptophyta; Magnoliopsida; Malpighiales; Euphorbiaceae.
AAGAUAGGCUCUUUUCUUUAUCGUCCGUCACCUCACCGGCAGCUGAGGAACAAGCUCUUGGUCGGGAUGGUGGAGGCAUAUCUGCCAAUGUUCAAGGUAGACAAAGGAAGGGCAGGGGAGGUCCAAGAGAUGCAAAGAGAAUGAGGCAUUCAAGUGAACCAGACUAUGACUAUGAAGAUGAUCCAGAUCUAAUGUAAUUUGGACUCUGGUGAAACGGUAGGUUUGUCGAUUUUGGAAUGAUAAAAUUGUCGAUUUUGACAUGUACAAAUAUAUUUGGCGGCCUAGAAUUGUAUUUCUUUAGUAUCGGCGGACAUCAGAUUAAAAAGAUAUUGUAUCACAGUGCAUAUUUUU